GUUUGAGGGAAGGUCACGUGAGAACAAAGAGGCCUCAGAGCCCGAAGGCUGGGAAAUGUGGUGAGGUCGCAGCAGGGACCUCCGCGCUUCUAGACUAUCCGGGAAAGAAGUGCCGCCGGCAGGACUCGCCCUCCUAACCUACCGCCCCUGGAUGGAAAACGGAAACAAAGAAGUUAAAUAAUUUACUUGGGCCUAGCAUAUGAGGGGAAAAAAGCCUAUGCUGGUCUGCAACACUUUACUAACCUGAUACAAAUUGGAGGAGAGUGAGGCUGUCGACUUCUGCAACCUGCCUAGGGUGACUGAAUCAGUGGCAGCAGUGGCGGUUUCCAGACCUUUCGGCCUGCAGAUGGUAAGGGGAUCUGACAACGGGUCAGAAGGAGAUUUACAGGGGUCCCUUUGCUGGCACCAGGGGCAGGACUCUGUUGCAUAGCCUAUAGUUGGAUCUGGGUAACAAUCCUGGGUCUUAGUCCCAGUGCAAGGAAGAACACUAGCACAGCAGAACUUGUGGCCACAGGGGAGCAGGGAUUCCGAUCACAGUUCAAGGGCUGAAAAGUGUGUUUGGGUCAUUUACAAACCAGUGCACAAUACAGGAGAGUAAUAAACACACCUCUCCCUAGAUCAUAACCACCUUGGAAGAGCCAAAAACUUACAGGUCUCCAGAAUUACUUCUGAAAACAGCUGCACAAAAAACCUGAAGCUUGGAACAGUGCCCUCCCCAUUUGGGAAGAAAGCCCCACUUUAGCAUAGAGUUAAAAGUCAAGAAAUAAAAUUCCUGCAUCCA
Long non-coding RNA from Trichosurus vulpecula (common brushtail), 781 nucleotides. RefSeq lists it as uncharacterized. The record is from RefSeq and is a predicted model, not a curated record. NCBI's taxonomy places the organism in Eukaryota, Metazoa, Chordata, Mammalia, Diprotodontia, Phalangeridae. The transcript has 3 exons.